GGGGACGUGGAUAACCUCGGGAAACUGAGGAUAAACCGCGAUAGGUCAUGAUUUCUGGAAUGAUUCAUGGCCCAAAUCUAUAUGGCCCCUGGAUUGGACUGCGGCCGAUCAGGCUGUUGGUGAGGUAAUGGCCCACCAAACCUGUUACCGGUACGGGCUCUGAGAGGAGGAGCCCGGAGAUGGGCACUGAGACAAGGGCCCAGGCCCUAUGGGGCGCAGCAGGCGCGAAACCUCUGCAAUAGGCGAAAGCCUGACAGGGUUACUCUGAGUGGUUUCCGCUAAGGGAACCUUUUGGCACCUCUACAAAUGGUGCAGAAUAAGGGGUGGGCAAGUCUGGUGUCAGCCGCCGCGGUAAUACCAGCACCCCGAGUGGUCGGGACGAUUAUUGGGCCUAAAGCAUCCGUAGCCGGUCCUGCAAGUCUUCCGUUAAAUCCAGCUGCUCAACAGAUGGGCUGCGGGGGAUACUACAGGGCUAGGAGGCGGGAGAGGCAAGCGGUACUUUAUGGGUAGGGGUAAAAUCCGUUGAUCCAUUGAAGACCACCAGUGGCGAAGGCGGCUUGCCAGAACGCGCUCGACGGUGAGGGAUGAAAGCUGGGGGAGCAAACCGGAUUAGAUACCCGGGUAGUCCCAGCUGUAAACGAUGCAGACUCGGUGAUGAGUUGGCUUAUUGCUAACUCAGUGUCGCAGGGAAGCCGUUAAGUUUGCCGCCUGGGGAGUACGGUCGCAAGACUGAAACUUAAAGGAAUUGGCGGG
This 753-nucleotide ribosomal RNA is filed under the name uncultured crenarchaeote. RNAcentral describes it as "bacterial SSU rRNA". It matches the Rfam family "Archaeal small subunit ribosomal RNA", at positions 116 to 872 of the family's 1478-position model. The record is from RNAcentral. Lineage: Archaea; Thermoproteati; Thermoproteota.